Python bivittatus (Burmese python) is the source of this 314-nucleotide long non-coding RNA. RefSeq lists it as uncharacterized. The record is from RefSeq and is a predicted model, not a curated record. NCBI's taxonomy places the organism in Eukaryota, Metazoa, Chordata, Lepidosauria, Squamata, Pythonidae.
GAGCAGGGCAACGCGCCACCAGUCCGGCUUGCCGCGCGGAAAAGAAGGCUGCCCCAGGCAGGGAGAGUUGCUUGCAAAGUCCUCGGAAAUCCAGGGACUUGGAUAAAGGCAGCAUGUUGUAGCAUGCCGCUACGGAUUGCAUGCAACAGGGAUGAACAUGGCUGAAAACAAGGCACUCUUGUCAGGUCACACAAAGAAUUGUGUGUUGAGCCAAUUGUCAGGAGAUGAUGUGUGACUAGCUGUGGCUUUUUCUGUUGCAGAUAAUGCUGGAAAGAGAAGAAGAGGAUGAUCAAUACAAGGUGGAUGGACUCCAU